This is an RNA transcript of Triticum dicoccoides, 1501 nucleotides long. RefSeq lists it as uncharacterized. Lineage: Eukaryota; Viridiplantae; Streptophyta; Magnoliopsida; Poales; Poaceae. The transcript has 5 exons. The record is from RefSeq and is a predicted model, not a curated record.
GCAGAGGAGGGAGGACGAGGAGCAUGACGGCGGCGGCGGCAGGGAGCAGCAGUAGCAGGCGGAGGCGCUGUGCUUGCAAGCCUCCCAAAUCCCAAAUCCCCACCCGACAGGUUUACGCGUGCUCAUUUCCUUGGCUGAUGCGGAAGGGGAGGCUUGCAAUGCUGAUGCGUAAGGGGAGGCUUGCAAGCAACCCCAGUCUGAAUGAAUUCAGUCAGGGUCACACAGGGGGUAAGGCAUCCCGAUGCGGUAAGGAACCAGGUUCUGAAUUCGGGCAGCGUCAACUCAAUCUGAGGGGGAGGCUGCCCUGCAGUUCUGGACCAAGAGGGAAAUCAUUGGUCCUUUUUAGACAAAAAAAUGCAAUUGGCAACACGUAUGACUGUUGUUCUUUAUGACUGUUUAGUUUAGUAUUGUGGCAUUCCUGGGAAGCUUGCAGGUGCAGAUACAGGGAAACUAGCUGCUUCUACUUUGGUUUGAUACAUAUGUAAUGACUUGCAUAGUGUCUGCUUGCGGGUGCAGAGGGUGACUUGCAAGGGUUUCCUGCCCCCAGGGACCCGGACAUGGAUACCCUCCUCUUAGAAUCCAGAUGGGCUCAAUCGCUUCUGUAGUUUAUGAGCUCGAUAGUUUAUGAUCUCGAUGUUUGUACCACUGACUAAACGUGUAGAUGUUUGCAAUUCUUUCUGUGCAUGUAGCUGACUAUGGUUGCUCAAAAUUAUUUCAGUUGCUUGAGAGAGCCCUUGAAGUGUAUGGAAAUGAUUUGGAUGAUGCAAUAAAGAGUUUGAAGGACCUGCACCUGAUGGAGUCAAAUCAGGGUAACCUAUCGUCCACUGGUUCCACUUUUGAAAAUGGGCCGACAGCAGUUCAGCCAUCUGUUGAAGGUGUUGUUACCAGCGGAGGUGUGGACACAGCUACUGAACACCAACCUGCCACAGCUAGCCAUCAGCCACGUAAUAGUGGCCCUAAAUGGGUCGAUCUUUUUGUGAGAGAGAUGUCAAAUGCUUCUGACAUGGGACAGCGCUCAAGCUUGUGCUUCAAGAGCUGUGGAAGCCUUGACGAAGUCUAUUCUGGAGGGUGCAGGAGCUGAAGCGCACAGAGCUUGCUUCAGGAAAACAUGGUGCUCAAGGAGCAGGUGACGGCCGUCCUGUCGUAGAACGGGGUCCUGAAUUUGUUUAUAUAUUUGUUAGAUGUACGAGCAGCAGAAGAAAAUCUCCCCUCCGCUCAUUGUUGGUGGUUCAGACUCGGGUCGUCGAUGCAAAUCAAUCAAGUGCCCCCAUCUUUAGUUAUUCUGUUUGGUGAAUGGGGAGUUGAUGAACCCGGGGUAGCGACAGAUAUACCUUAUCUUCCCGGCGGACAGCACCUUCCACGAGGAUGACGUCUCCAACUACUCCAGCAUCUACGGUCCUGUCCACGAUGUGCGCAUCCCCUACCAGCAGAACCACAUGUUUGGGUUCGUCACCUUCGUCUACAAGGAGAAGGGCAAGGUCCCCGGCAAGUUCAGGCAAGC